CUUCACGAUAGGAUUCCACACAGGGCUAGUGGCAAUACCGGGAGGCACCCUAGAAUGUAGGAACCUACAAUCAGCCUUACAAGAUCCCGUCACUACGAACGCACUACUUACAGCCGAGGUCAACCAUGGGUUCAUGAUAGGCCCAUUCACACACCCCCCAUAUGCCAGUUUCAGAACUAACCCAAUUGGCAUUGCUACUGGAAAAU
Molecule: non-coding RNA, 206 nt
Organism: Pelobates cultripes (western spadefoot toad)
Lineage: Eukaryota; Metazoa; Chordata; Amphibia; Anura; Pelobatidae
Source: the annotation of a GenBank genome assembly